This 422-nucleotide ribosomal RNA is filed under the name uncultured archaeon. Its description in RNAcentral is "partial 16S ribosomal RNA". It matches the Rfam family "Archaeal small subunit ribosomal RNA", at positions 323 to 746 of the family's 1478-position model. The record is from RNAcentral.
CUACGGGUGGCAGCAGGCGAGAAAACUUUGCAAUGUGCGAAAGCACGACAAGGUUAAUCCGAGUGGUUUGUGCUAAACGAACCUUUUGACAGUCCUAGAAACACUGUUGAAUAAGGGGUGGGCAAGUUCUGGUGUCAGCCGCCGCGGUAAAACCAGCACCUCAAGUGGUCAGGAUGAUUAUUGGGCCUAAAGCAUCCGUAGCCGGCUCCGUAAGUUUUCGGCUAAGUCUGUACGCUCAACGUACAGGCUGCCGGGAAUACUGCAGAGCUAGGGAGUGGGAGAGGUAGACGGUACUCGGUAGGAAGGGGUAAAAUCCUUUGAUCUAUUGAUGACCACCUGUGGCGAAGGCGGUCUACCAGAACACGUCCGACGGUGAGGGAUGAAAGCUGGGGGAGCAAACCGGAUUAGAUACCCCAGUAGUC